GACGAACGCUGGCGGCGUGCCUAAUACAUGCAAGUAGAACGCUGAAGGAGGAGCUUGCUUCUCUGGAUGAGUUGCGAACGGGUGAGUAACUCGUAGGUAACCUGCCUGGUAGCGGGGGAUAACUAUUGGAAACGAUAGCUAAUACCGCAUAAUAGUAGAUGUUGCAUGACAUUUGCUUAAAAGGUGCACUUGCAUCACUACCAGAUGGACCUGCGUUGUAUUAGCUAGUUGGUGGGGUAACGGCUCACCAAGGCGACGAUACAUAGCCGACCUGAGAGGGUGAGCGGCCACACUGGGACUGAGACACGGCCCAGACUCCUACGGGAGGCAGCAGUAGGGAAUCUUCGGCAAUGGACGGAAGUCUGACCGAGCAACGCCGCGUGAGUGAAGAAGGUUUUCGGAUCGUAAAGCUAUGUUGUAAGAGAAGAACGAGUGUGAGAGUGGAAAGUUCACACUGUGAAGGUAUCUUACCAGAAAGGGACGGCUAACUACGUG
This 495-nucleotide ribosomal RNA is filed under the name uncultured bacterium. Its description in RNAcentral is "partial 16S ribosomal RNA". It matches the Rfam family "Bacterial small subunit ribosomal RNA", at positions 28 to 507 of the family's 1533-position model. The record is from RNAcentral.